GCCCCUGUAGCCCAAUCGGUUAGAGGCACACGACUUAAAAUCGUGCCAGUGUGGGUUCAAGUCCCACCAGGGGUAC
RNAcentral lists this transfer RNA (76 nucleotides) under uncultured Actinomycetes bacterium. RNAcentral's name for it is "uncultured actinobacterium tRNA-Leu". It matches the Rfam family "tRNA". From Rfam's summary of the family: Transfer RNA (tRNA) molecules are approximately 80 nucleotides in length. The record is from RNAcentral. Lineage: Bacteria; Bacillati; Actinomycetota; Actinomycetes.